Molecule: ribosomal RNA, 457 nt
Filed under: uncultured Methylophilaceae bacterium
Lineage: Bacteria; Pseudomonadati; Pseudomonadota; Betaproteobacteria; Nitrosomonadales; Methylophilaceae
Description: bacterial SSU rRNA
Rfam family: Bacterial small subunit ribosomal RNA
Source: RNAcentral
CGGGGGGCAGCAGUGGGGAAUUUUGGACAAUGGGCGCAAGCCUGAUCCAGCCAUUCCGCGUGAGUGAAGAAGGCCUUCGGGUUGUAAAGCUCUUUCGCAAGGGAAGAAAACUUAUCCUCUAACAUAGGAUGAGGUUGACGGUACCUUGAUAAGAAGCACCGGCUAACUACGUGCCAGCAGCCGCGGUAAUACGUAGGGUGCGAGCGUUAAUCGGAAUUACUGGGCGUAAAGCGUGCGCAGGCUGUUUUGUAAGUCAGAUGUGAAAUCCCUGAGCUCAACUUAGGAACUGCGUUUGAAACUACAAGACUAGAAUAUGUCAGAGGGGGGUAGAAUUCCACGUGUAGCAGUGAAAUGCGUAGAGAUGUGGAGGAAUACCAAUGGCGAAGGCAGCCCCCUGGGAUAAUAUUGACGCUCAUGCACGAAAGCGUGGGGAGCAAACAGGAUUAGAUACCCGAGU